RNAcentral lists this ribosomal RNA (727 nucleotides) under Salmonella enterica subsp. enterica serovar Thompson. Its description in RNAcentral is "partial 23S ribosomal RNA". It matches the Rfam family "Bacterial large subunit ribosomal RNA", at positions 2204 to 2925 of the family's 2925-position model. Lineage: Bacteria; Pseudomonadati; Pseudomonadota; Gammaproteobacteria; Enterobacterales; Enterobacteriaceae. RNAcentral also lists the same sequence under 3 other names. The record is from RNAcentral.
CCUUUAAUGUUUGAUGUUCUAACGUGGACCCGUAAUCCGGGUUGCGGACAGUGUCUGGUGGGUAGUUUGACUGGGGCGGUCUCCUCCUAAAGAGUAACGGAGGAGCACGAAGGUUGGCUAAUCCUGGUCGGACAUCAGGAGGUUAGUGCAAUGGCAUAAGCCAGCUUGACUGCGAGCGUGACGGCGCGAGCAGGUGCGAAAGCAGGUCAUAGUGAUCCGGUGGUUCUGAAUGGAAGGGCCAUCGCUCAACGGAUAAAAGGUACUCCGGGGAUAACAGGCUGAUACCGCCCAAGAGUUCAUAUCGACGGCGGUGUUUGGCACCUCGAUGUCGGCUCAUCACAUCCUGGGGCUGAAGUAGGUCCCAAGGGUAUGGCUGUUCGCCAUUUAAAGUGGUACGCGAGCUGGGUUUAGAACGUCGUGAGACAGUUCGGUCCCUAUCUGCCGUGGGCGCUGGAGAACUGAGGGGGGCUGCUCCUAGUACGAGAGGACCGGAGUGGACGCAUCACUGGUGUUCGGGUUGUCAUGCCAAUGGCACUGCCCGGUAGCUAAAUGCGGAAGAGAUAAGUGCUGAAAGCAUCUAAGCACGAAACUUGCCCCGAGAUGAGUUCUCCCUGAGACUUAGAGUCUCCUGAAGGAACGUUGAAGACGACGACGUUGAUAGGCCGGGUGUGUAAGCGCAGCGAUGCGUUGAGCUAACCGGUACUAAUGAACCGUGAGGCUUAACCUU